This is a non-coding RNA of Electrophorus electricus (electric eel), 295 nucleotides long. The record is from RefSeq and is a predicted model, not a curated record. Lineage: Eukaryota; Metazoa; Chordata; Actinopteri; Gymnotiformes; Gymnotidae.
ACGACGCCCGUGCCAUUUGGAAUGUGGGCCCGUGCCUCUCAGGGUGUUGACUGACACCCCAUUUCCACAAGCUACACGGCACUGCUGCCGCUGAAGCAACAUAUCUGUGUGUCUCUGGCGGCUCCGAUGAGACAAUCCGUUACGCACUGCGAUGUACCGAAUGGAAGAUUUGAAGGUCUCUGGAGAAGGCGCUGCACAUUAGCAGUCUAAGCCAGACGGAAUGCUCAUCCCGUGCAUCGCUUCCCAAGAUCCUCAGAUUUAGGAUACUUGUUUUGUUGUGGAUUUGUUUAAGAUC